This 63-nucleotide transfer RNA is filed under the name Glycera cf. tridactyla FS20. RNAcentral describes it as "tRNA-Cys". Lineage: Eukaryota; Metazoa; Annelida; Polychaeta; Phyllodocida; Glyceridae. The record is from RNAcentral.
GGACCUGUAGUUGAUAAACAACAUUAAAUUGCAAAUUUAAAAGAGUACUUGGUGCCAGAUCCU